UACAGAGGGUGCGAGCGUUAAUCGGAUUUACUGGGCGUAAAGCGUGCGUAGGCGGCUUUUUAAGUCGGAUGUGAAAUCCCCGAGCUUAACUUGGGAAUUGCAUUCGAUACUGGGAAGCUAGAGUAUGGGAGAGGAUGGUAGAAUUCCAGGUGUAGCGGUGAAAUGCAUAGAUACCGCCAAGAACCCCGAUUGCGAAGGCAGCUCGCUUGGCCUUAACUGACGCUGAUGGACGAAAGCGUAGGUAGCGAACAGG
This 253-nucleotide unclassified non-coding RNA is filed under the name uncultured Moraxellaceae bacterium. RNAcentral describes it as "contains 16S-23S intergenic spacer region". It matches the Rfam family "Bacterial small subunit ribosomal RNA", at positions 524 to 776 of the family's 1533-position model. The record is from RNAcentral. Lineage: Bacteria; Pseudomonadati; Pseudomonadota; Gammaproteobacteria; Moraxellales; Moraxellaceae.